RNAcentral lists this unclassified non-coding RNA (776 nucleotides) under Hevea brasiliensis (rubber tree). Lineage: Eukaryota; Viridiplantae; Streptophyta; Magnoliopsida; Malpighiales; Euphorbiaceae. The record is from RNAcentral.
GAAAUACCAAAAAAAAAAGAAACAUAUAUCAAGAAACAACAUGAUAUGCCUGUAAUUCCCAGAUUGGACAAAAAACAACAUAUACUUUAAACUGAGAAUGAGAAUUUUUCUACCUUAAAACUCACAAUCAGAAGAGAACAACAUUUGCAGCAAAGCACAACACCCUCUUCUUCUUCAUCACAAUUCAAACUCAUCUUCAAGCUUCAGUGCCUCAGCAGCUGCUUCUUCCUCCUCAUCAUCAACUACAAAAUAAGGAUUAUGAGCCUCAGGCUUGAACUUGUAACCAGUGAAUGCAUAAAAUGCAAGCGUCGCCAAUUCCCCAGCCACCACACUUGUCCAAAGAUACCGAUAUGAUGUAAUUGUCUCGAGUGCAUAAACUACAACCCGGGUGAAGUAGAUAUAACAUAUAACCACAAUGUAAUACUGUCUGAAAAGGGUCAAUUUCAUCAAAUUCACAGCUGCUUUUCCGUCGGUUCGUGCAGCUUCACGCAAGUUCUUGAUUGACCAAACAAUGGGGAACAGAACAGCACAGCAACAAAUCACAUCAACAAGCAAGAACACCUGUUUCCAAGUAACCCAAUCUUGUUCAAAUGGCCCAGUUUCAUCAAUCACAACCUGAGCAAUAUUAGCCACCACUUGCAAUGGAAUCACAAUCAUCAAGACCUUCUUCUCUUUGUCCUGCAAAUAAGGUUUCAAGAAAGACCAACCAGUGCCAAUCAAGACGAUCAAAGUAAACAAGGUGAUACCCUUUAAGAAACUAAAAAUGUAGAACAAAA